GGGGUAUAGUUCUUCGGAACUAGAGACCGGCGCACGGGUGCGUAACGCGUAUGCAAUCUACCUUUCACAAAGGGAUAGCCCAGAGAAAUUUGGAUUAAUACCUUAUAGUAAUACGACUUGGCAUCAAGAUGUAUUUAAAGAUUUAUCGGUGAAAGAUGAGCAUGCGUCCCAUUAGCUUGUUGGUAGGGUAACGGCUUACCAAGGCAACGAUGGGUAGGGGUCCUGAGAGGGAGAUCCCCCACACUGGUACUGAGACACGGACCAGACUCCUACGGGAGGCAGCAGUGAGGAAUAUUGGACAAUGGGCGCAAGCCUGAUCCAGCCAUGCCGCGUGCAGGAUGACGGUCCUAUGGAUUGUAAACUGCUUUUGUACAGGAAGAAACCCUUUCACGUGUGGAAGAUUGACGGUACUGUAAGAAUAA
Molecule: ribosomal RNA, 422 nt
Filed under: uncultured bacterium
Lineage: Bacteria
Description: bacterial SSU rRNA
Rfam family: Bacterial small subunit ribosomal RNA
Source: RNAcentral